Dreissena polymorpha is the source of this 2484-nucleotide long non-coding RNA. RefSeq lists it as uncharacterized. NCBI's taxonomy places the organism in Eukaryota, Metazoa, Mollusca, Bivalvia, Myida, Dreissenidae. The transcript has 2 exons. The record is from RefSeq and is a predicted model, not a curated record.
GGUAUAGCCCUUGUCAAAAAAUAACCCACUUUCAUACCAAAACACACUUAAACCAACAUAAAACUGUGUUUUUUCUGAGUUUUUCUUAGCGGAAGUUGGUUUUUGCUAAUAAAAGUGAGUUUUAUGUGCGCUAAACUGUGCUUAACUGAGUUUAAAGUUGGUUAUUUUAAGAAGAUGUGUGUUUAAGCGAGUUUUUUUCAGUAAGAAGUCGGUUUUUUGUUUGUCAAAAGUGAGCCUUUUUAUUUAUGAGUUGGUUUAUGUGUGUUUAAGUGUGUCUUUUUGUUUUAUAAGCGAGUCUUUUACAACAGAAGUUGGUCUUUUUUUAAACAGAAGUGGGUUUAAGCGAGUUUAACUUGGUCUUUUUGUAAAUAAGUUGAGAGCUGCAACGAGGCUUAAAGACUCACUUUAACACACUUUUCAACAAGUUGGUCUUUUGUUUAUUAAUAUAACUCAUCAAUGAAACAAUAAUUCUUCAACUGGGUCUUUGUUUGAUGUUUAUAGCCAUAAAUAAAACAAGUCAAUUGUAAAGGGGCUUUUUUUACAGCUUGUUUGCCAUUGUCCCUAUUGUACAUUUGUGUGCUCCCCAUAAUUUUUAGGGAAUAUUGGAUGAAAAUGGCUCUUUCAGAACAUCACAGGUUCACAGAUGGACAACAAGUAUCACUGACAAAAACUAACAAUGGUCAAGCUUAGUUUUAUACAUGAAAAUGAAAGAGUUUGUGUUUCACUUUGAAUUUUUUCUUUAUGUUUGUUUUUAUUAUAAACAAUAUCUUAUGAUUGUUUUAUGUCUUAAUUUUUUAUUUUUUUUUAAACAAUCUCAUAUGAUUGUUUAUAUUUGUUUAAAACAGUAUUUACUUGUAAAAUCUGCAUAUUUAAAUAAUUAUGGUAUUGGAAACAUUAUUUUGGAAAUAAUCUAUUUAUUUUUGUACAUAAGUUAUGCAAGAUUUUGAUAUUUGCAUAUGAUACCAUCAUAUCCAUUUUCUUAAUUUGGAAUAAAAUAAUAAAAUGCCAAACAUUACCUGUGUUACAUAAACUGUCAACAAAAUAACAAGACAAUACCUUAAAACACCCUUAUUUCACACCACUAACAAUAAACAGAUAACAAUCUGUCAGGCAUUCAGAGCUAAACAGGGUACUGAUUAUCUAGGGGUAGAUAAGGCUACUGAUGGGGUCCUAGAGAUAAGGCUGUGUGGAAUAAGAUAUAAGGCUUUUGAUUGGCUAUUGCACUGAGGAAGUUAUCUUUUUGAAAACAACAACUUUUGAAAAACAAGCUGGUGUCAGCAACUGAAUAUUGAGCUAAAUUUAAUUCAGCAACAUUAAUAUAAAGAAGUGAAAGACUUAUAAUGGUAGUGUAAAAUGUCUUGAAAUUCUGUCAGCAUGAAGUAUUGUGUGAUGAAAACAAUGUGUUUUUUACUGCAAUGUGGAAAUCAAUAAUAAGUUGGUUGGAAAGGAGGUUGAACUGCCUGUUGUUGUUUUUGGAAUACUGAAGAACAGUUUUAACAGGUUUGUAUUGUCAUUUCUUCACCCCUUUUUUUAUUUAGUUUAUUGAAUUAAUUAUGAUCAUUAUCAUAUUUAUGUAUUGUCACUGGGAAAUGUAAAUGGAUAAGUUAUUGUAUUGCAAUUUAAAGGAUAAACAACACAUUUUGAAGCAAAAAUAGAUAAACUUACACAUGAAAAAGUGUAAAUGUUGUGUACAGUGAAUAAUUAUGGUUGUGUUUCAUGGUUAUUGUCAUCUAAAAUUUUAUUUAUAUCUAUUUCUGGUUAUUACUGAACGGAUUUCUUUCCCUCUUACUUAAUUAGAACUUAUAUAUUUUAAUUUUGAAGGUUAAACUCUUGCCACAAGGCAAAAUUGACAUCGUUGGGAAGAUCCUUUGGAAAGAAUGUGCAUCAUCGCCUGCCUGAUGUAUGGACUUUUAAACCUGGUUUUUACCCUGCACAAGCUGGCAAACUUGAGGGGAACAAGAGUGGGAAAACCUCGCCCUGUCCUUGACCAAGAAAGCUCGAUUUGUUGAGAGAUCAACUGGCAUAAGAGAUGCUCAAGAGGAGAAGGACACAAGCAGCAUCAAUGGAACAACUACAUGUCGCUCCAGCGCCCGCUUUCCAGGUCUCUACCAGCUGCUUUCCAGGUCCCUCCACCCGCCAAGAUCAGGUCUAGGUCCCUGCACUGGCUGCUUUCCAGGUCCCCUAGCGGUCAAGGUCUCUCCAGUAGCUGCUGUGCAGGUCCCAACACCGUAUGCCGUCAAGGUCCCUCCUUAAGCUGAAAUCCAGGUUCCUCAUUCCACUGCGGUUCAGGUACCUCCAACAGCUGAGAUCCAGGUCUCUGCAGCAGCUGCGGUCUAAAUACUCCACCCGCAGUGGUCCAUUGCGGUCAAACUUUUGCUUUAAAAUCUUCCAUAAAUGUCUAUUAUUUUAUAAUGUAUUGUAAAAAUAAUCUGUUAGUAUUAAUUUGCGGUGUACUAUUUUUGUCAUAUAAACAUAAUUUUCGUA